UUCAACGAUGGAUAUCUAGGUUCCCAUACCGAUGAAGAGCGCAGCAAAAUGCGAUACGCAAUGCGAAUUGCAGAAUUCCGCGAAUCAUCAGAUUCUUGAACGCAACUGGCGCUGUAGCAAUACAGCAUGUCUGUUUCAGUGUCUG
Molecule: ribosomal RNA, 145 nt
Filed under: Begonia fenicis
Lineage: Eukaryota; Viridiplantae; Streptophyta; Magnoliopsida; Cucurbitales; Begoniaceae
Description: 5.8S ribosomal RNA
Rfam family: 5.8S ribosomal RNA
About the family: 5.8S ribosomal RNA (5.8S rRNA) is a component of the large subunit of the eukaryotic ribosome.
Source: RNAcentral